CGACCCCAGGUCAGGCGGGAUUACCCGCUG
This 30-nucleotide non-coding RNA is filed under the name Arabidopsis thaliana (thale cress). Lineage: Eukaryota; Viridiplantae; Streptophyta; Magnoliopsida; Brassicales; Brassicaceae. RNAcentral also lists the same sequence under 8 other names. The record is from RNAcentral.